UCUGAAGGGCCGUCGAAGACUACGACGUUGAUAGGCUGGGUGUGUACGUGCAGCAAUGCAUUUAGCUAACCAGUACUAAUUGCCCGUGCGGCUUGACCAU
This 100-nucleotide ribosomal RNA is filed under the name Gammaproteobacteria bacterium. Its description in RNAcentral is "partial 23S ribosomal RNA". It matches the Rfam family "Bacterial large subunit ribosomal RNA", at positions 2826 to 2925 of the family's 2925-position model. The record is from RNAcentral. Lineage: Bacteria; Pseudomonadati; Pseudomonadota; Gammaproteobacteria.